This 161-nucleotide ribosomal RNA is filed under the name Dermatophyllum secundiflorum. RNAcentral describes it as "5.8S ribosomal RNA". It matches the Rfam family "5.8S ribosomal RNA". From Rfam's summary of the family: 5.8S ribosomal RNA (5.8S rRNA) is a component of the large subunit of the eukaryotic ribosome. It is transcribed by RNA polymerase I as part of the 45S precursor that also contains 18S and 28S rRNA. Lineage: Eukaryota; Viridiplantae; Streptophyta; Magnoliopsida; Fabales; Fabaceae. The record is from RNAcentral.
GAAAUGACUCUCGGCAACGGAUAUCUCGGCUCUUGCAUCGAUGAAGAACGUAGCGAAAUGCGAUACUUGGUGUGAAUUGCAGAAUCCCGCGAACCAUCGAGUGUUUGAACGCAAGUUGCGCCCGAAGCCAUUAGGCUGAGGGCACGCCUGCCUGGGUGUCG